AUUCUUGUUGUGCAACUGGCAGUAGGUCCCGCUAACAAUGGGGAGAUCCAUGGUUCGAAUCCGUGCGAGAACG
This 73-nucleotide transfer RNA is filed under the name Stegodyphus mimosarum. It matches the Rfam family "tRNA". Rfam says of the family: Transfer RNA (tRNA) molecules are approximately 80 nucleotides in length. Their secondary structure includes four short double-helical elements and three loops (D, anti-codon, and T loops). Further hydrogen bonds mediate the characteristic L-shaped molecular structure. tRNAs have two regions of fundamental functional importance: the anti-codon, which is responsible for specific mRNA codon recognition, and the 3' end, to which the tRNAs corresponding amino acid is attached (by aminoacyl-tRNA synthetases). tRNAs cope with the degeneracy of the genetic code in two manners: having more than one tRNA (with a specific anti-codon) for a particular amino acid; and 'wobble' base-pairing, i.e. permitting non-standard base-pairing at the 3rd anti-codon position. Lineage: Eukaryota; Metazoa; Arthropoda; Arachnida; Araneae; Eresidae. The record is from Rfam by way of RNAcentral.